This 494-nucleotide ribosomal RNA is filed under the name uncultured bacterium. Its description in RNAcentral is "partial 16S ribosomal RNA". It matches the Rfam family "Bacterial small subunit ribosomal RNA", at positions 28 to 507 of the family's 1533-position model. The record is from RNAcentral.
GACGAACGCUGGCGGCGUGCUUAACACAUGCAAGUCGAACGGAAAGGCCUGCUUUCCCUUGUGGAUUGCGGGUACUCGAGUGGCGAACGGGUGAGUAACACGUGAGUGAUCUGCCCCCAACUUGGGUAUAAGCCUGGGAAUCUGGGUCUAAUUCCCGAUAGGACUGCAGGGUGGUGCCUGUGGUGGAAAACGAUUUUCUAGUGGUUGGGGAUGAGCUCGCGGCCUAUCAGCUUGUUGGUGGGGUAAUGGCCUACCAAGGCGGCGACGGGUAGCCGGCCUGAGAGGGUGGACGGCCACAUUGGGACUGAGAUACGGCCCAGACUCCUACGGGAGGCAGCAGUGGGGAAUAUUGCACAAUGGGCGGAAGCCUGAUGCAGCGACGCCGCGUGGGGGAUGACGGCCUUCGGGUUGUAAACUCCUUUCGACCGCGAGGAAGCCACCUGGUUGGAAGGGUGGUGACGGUAGUGGUAGAAGAAGCACCGGCUAACUACGUG